RNA transcript from Bombus pyrosoma, 980 nucleotides. RefSeq lists it as uncharacterized. The record is from RefSeq and is a predicted model, not a curated record. NCBI's taxonomy places the organism in Eukaryota, Metazoa, Arthropoda, Insecta, Hymenoptera, Apidae. The transcript has 4 exons.
GAAGAAUCAAUUAUCGGUAAGUUAGGUUUAUUAUCGCCAGCAACACCGGCUAGGAGGAGCGUCUCGACGGGUGCGACGACGAAUACCACGCCGUCCACGUGGAUACGGUCGUUGACGAAACCCCUUCUACGACGACGCUCUCGAGUUUUGUCGAUUCGUCGAUUCGUCGAUUCGUCGAGCAAUCACGAGAAACGAAAUUACUGAUGUUUUGGAAUUCUCGCCUAAACAAGGUAAGUCUGACACGCGACAAACGAUCGAUCGAGGAACGAUCGAAAAUACGAAAAGGACUUAUAAGUUGAUUUUUGAUGAGAAAAAACGAUGCCCGUGGCGUGAUAGCGUGAGCAAUGAACGUCUUGACGAUGCGGAGGAUGAGCGAGGUGUGACGACGUCUCCUGCCGACCGGCGAUCCCGGUCCCCACCUGGCAUGGAAACAGAUCGUCAGGCAAGUUCAAGAACCUGGGGCCACUGUGCACGUUCUGUUGCAUACAUACCCAGAAUAUAAAUACAAUCAUGCUUAUAUUGCGAAGAUAUCGAUAGAGAAGCAAAGAUUAAAUACACGGUAAAAGAGGUUUUAAUUAAUCUACGUAAUUCUAUUCAAGAACAAAGUUCGGUUGGGAAGAAGAAAAACGAAACCACUGGUAGCCGGUUUGCUCCCGAACUUAUACACACUCUUUCGUGCGUGAAAUAUACCCACAUACACACACGCGCGCGGGCGCAUGCAUACACGCACAUAUACGGGACCGAUUUGUAAAGGGCAACGGCCUCGUAUGGCCCCACCGAGUUCAUUUCCCCGUUCCUCUGUCUCAGCCGCCGCUUAUUACCGUAACCUUGCCCUUGCUCUUACAUUUCCGCCAUGCUCGAACUUCGAGGAUUGUCUUCCUGGUUCGCCUUGAAUGGCGCCUACCGAUGAAAGCUUAUAGAAGAUCGGAAUCACUUGAACGCGGCUCAAAUUCAAACGUUCCACCUUGAGCCUGCAGAUA